Molecule: long non-coding RNA, 809 nt
Organism: Triticum aestivum (bread wheat)
Lineage: Eukaryota; Viridiplantae; Streptophyta; Magnoliopsida; Poales; Poaceae
Exons: 2
Source: RefSeq, a predicted model, not a curated record
ACAACAAAAAAAUGCAGCUCGCCCCGCGCGCUGCUACGGCUUCGGCCCAGCGCCCCGCGUGUGCGCCCGCGGCGGCUGGCCUGGUCCGGCUCAACUUUUGGCCCAAAAAGCCCGGGGCGAGGCUAGGGUUUCGAUCUCAGUCGUUCGAUUGCAUCUAACGAUCCAGCGAACUUUUCUCUCGAACAAAACCGAGGAAAGCCCCCGAUUCGAAAACCUAGCCCCCAUUCUCUCGAUGCUUCUUUCCCUCUUCGUCUCUGUAGUCGCCCGCGACGUCGAUGGCCGGGCCGCCGGCGACGGCGCCGAGGGCCACCGCGCCGCGCCCGGCCGCCGGCGACGGCCACCCUGCCGCGCCUCUUUUUCCCUUCCUUUCCUCCCUCCAUAUCUCUAGUGACAGAGAAAGAGAGCAGCGGGGUCGAGCCCUCUCUGAUCCCCAUCACCGCUGACCUCUCUAGCUGCCGGCGGCUGGCUGGUGGCUAGCGAGGCUCCCCGGCGCGGUAACAAGAGUUAGGUUUCGGAUGGCUGAGAUGUAGAAAUGGACUCUUUAUUUCAGGCUCUUCCAGCCUGUAUGCUGCGCAUGGGGCCUGUAAUGUGCUCCACAAGGGAAUUUGACCCGCUAUGUGUCAUGCCCUGGUCAAAUGUGAUGUGAACUCGGUAGGAAUUAACAUGUCCUGGUCAACUGUAACUGGAGUUAAUCUUCUGACUUGUGAACUGCCCGUCUGUUAUCUGAUUUCUAUAGGAAAUAUUCGAACUGGCAUGAGGAGAAACUAACUUCCUUCGGUUAAUGCAUUAGCAUUGGGCUUGUCACUGAA